This 305-nucleotide ribosomal RNA is filed under the name uncultured bacterium. RNAcentral's name for it is "bacterial SSU rRNA". It matches the Rfam family "Bacterial small subunit ribosomal RNA", at positions 334 to 655 of the family's 1533-position model. The record is from RNAcentral.
CAUUCCCUACGGGACGCAGCAGUGGGGAAUAUUGCACAAUGGGGGGAACCCUGAUGCAGCGACGCCGCGUGAGUGAAGAAGUAUUUCGGUACGUAAAGCUCUAUCAGCAGGGAAGAAAAUGACGGUACCUGACUAAGAAGCCCCGGCUAACUACGUGCCAGCAGCCGCGGUAAUACGUAGGGGGCAAGCGUUAUCCGGAUUUACUGGGUGUAAAGGGAGCGUAGACGGCAGUGCAAGUCCGGAGUGAAAGCCCGGGGCUCAACCCUGGGACUGCUCUGGAAACUGCAAAGCUGGAGUGCGGGAGG